RNAcentral lists this ribosomal RNA (557 nucleotides) under uncultured archaeon. RNAcentral's name for it is "bacterial SSU rRNA". It matches the Rfam family "Archaeal small subunit ribosomal RNA", at positions 202 to 761 of the family's 1478-position model. The record is from RNAcentral.
CCCAAGGAUGGGGCCGCGACCGAUCAGGUUGUUGGUGAGGUAACGGCCUACCAAGCCUUUUACCGGUACGGGCCGUGAGAGCGGGAGCCCGGAGAUGGGCACUGAGACAAGGGCCCAGGUCCUACGGGGCGCAGCAGUCGCGCAAACUUUGCAAUACACGAAAGUGUGACAGGGCUAUCCCGAGUGCCGUCCGCUGAGGGUGGCUUUUACCCAGUCUAGAAAGCUGGGAGAAUAAGGAGAGGGCAAGUCUGGUGUCAGCCGCCGCGGUAAUACCAGCUCUCCGAGUGGUGUGGAUGUUUAUUGGGCCUAAAGCAUCCGUAGCUUGCUGAUCAAGUCCCCUGUUAAACCCAACGAAUCAAUCGUUGGAUUGCGGGGGAUACUGCUCGGCUAGGGGACGGGAGAGGCCGACGGUAUUUUCGGGGUAGGGGUGAAAUCCUAUAAUCCCGAGAGGACCACCAGUGGCGAAGGCUGUCGGCUAGAACGCGCCCAACGGUGAGGGAUGAAAGCUGGGGGAGCGAACCGGAUUAGAUACCCGGGUAGUCCCAGCUGUAAACGAU